Molecule: ribosomal RNA, 485 nt
Filed under: uncultured bacterium
Lineage: Bacteria
Description: partial 16S ribosomal RNA
Rfam family: Bacterial small subunit ribosomal RNA
Source: RNAcentral
AUUGAACGCUGGCGGCAGGCUUAACACAUGCAAGUCGAGCGGGGGAAGGUAGCUUGCUACCGGACCUAGCGGCGGACGGGUGAGUAAUGCUUAGGAAUCUGCCUAUUAGUGGGGGACAACAUCUCGAAAGGGAUGCUAAUACCGCAUACGUCCUACGGGAGAAAGCAGGGGAUCUUCGGACCUUGCGCUAAUAGAUGAGCCUAAGUCGGAUUAGCUAGUUGGUGGGGUAAAGGCCUACCAAGGCGACGAUCUGUAGCGGGUCUGAGAGGAUGAUCCGCCACACUGGGACUGAGACACGGCCCAGACACCUACGGGAGGCAGCAGUGGGGAAUAUUGGACAAUGGGGGGAACCCUGAUCCAGCCAUGCCGCGUGUGUGAAGAAGGCCUUAGGGUUGUAAAGCACUUUAAGCGAGGAGGAGGCUACUUUAGUUAAUACCUAGAGAUAGUGGACGUUACUCGCAGAAUAAGCACCGGCUAACUCUGUG